CUUUAGAGAGGUCAUUAGGUCAUGGGGACACCACCUUCAGAAAGAUUAGAUUGGUUACCAUAAUAGUGGGUUGUUGAAAAGUGAAUUUGGCUUUCUUGCUUCUUCUCUCACCAUGUGAUCUCUGUUUCUCUUAUGCACUGCUGCCAUGUGAUACAUUCAGAAAUCUAUGCUGGUACAGAACCACACUCUUGGACCUCCAGAACUCUGAGGGAAAGAAACCUCUUUUCUUUAUAGAGUAUCCAGCCUCAAUAUUUUGGUAUAGCAACAUAUGAUGACUAAGACAGCCACUGAGUCCAUAGUCAUUUGUUAGGGAGCUCUAGAAAACCACUACACUGUGCUCCAGAGGAUGGACCCAGGUGAGGUUCAUUUUCUACAGGAGAUGUUUUCUCUAUUUAUGGCAGGAUUUGCCUGAGCAACAGCCUCAGGCAGCCCAAUCUGCAACUCUCAAGAACUCCAAACAUCCAGAUGGGACUAUGGCUGAGAAUCUGCCCUGGAGAAAGUACCCUGAGAUGUUUUCAGUAUCCAUCAGCAGACAAAGCACAAGAGAAAUAGGCUGAAUUUGGAAACUAGACAGAGAUGGUUUUAAAACUCCACUCCACUACUG
This 604-nucleotide long non-coding RNA is filed under the name Marmota monax (woodchuck). Lineage: Eukaryota; Metazoa; Chordata; Mammalia; Rodentia; Sciuridae. The record is from RNAcentral.